This 317-nucleotide unclassified non-coding RNA is filed under the name Hevea brasiliensis (rubber tree). Lineage: Eukaryota; Viridiplantae; Streptophyta; Magnoliopsida; Malpighiales; Euphorbiaceae. The record is from RNAcentral.
UAUAUCUAAGUUAACAAAAUUAAUCAAAUUUAAAAUAAAAUUAAUAUUUUAUUACUAAUUAGAAUAUAUUUUAAAUUUAAUGUUCCCUUCCUUUUCCCUCCCACCUUCAAGCCCUUCUCUUUUUUUCUCUUUCCAUCACCAUAAUCACCUUAAUGUCUUUGCACAACCAGCGAUCACCAUGUAGUAAAGGUUUUCAUGUCUCGAUUAAACUAGUGCAAUUAAUCAGUCCGGUUCAAUUUAACUCUAAGAAUCUCGUUUUUUCAAUAAAUUAAAAUAAAUCAGUUGACAACCAAUUUGAAAUGAAAGAUGCCACUAGG